This 914-nucleotide ribosomal RNA is filed under the name uncultured marine archaeon. RNAcentral's name for it is "bacterial SSU rRNA". It matches the Rfam family "Archaeal small subunit ribosomal RNA", at positions 1 to 922 of the family's 1478-position model. The record is from RNAcentral.
UUCCGGUUGAUCCCGCCGGACCUGACUGCUAUCGGAUUGAUACUAAGCCAUGCGAGUCUUUGUAGUAAUACAAGGCAUACGGCUCAGUAACGCGUAGUCAACCUACCCUAUGGACAAGAAUAAUCUCGGGAAACUGAGCAUAAUUCUUGAUAGAUCAUAAUGCCUGGAAUGGUUUAUGGUUAAAAUGAUUCGUCGCCAUAGGAUGGGACUGCGGCCUAUCAGCUUGUUGGUGAGGUAAUGGCCCACCAAGGCGAUUACAGGUACGGGCUCUGAGAGGAGAAGCCCGGAGAUGGGUACUGAGACAAGGACCCAGGCCCUAUGGGGCGCAGCAGGCGAGAAAACUUUGCAAUGUGCGAAAGCACGACAAGGUUAAUCCGAGUGAUUUCUGCUAAAGAAAUCUUUUGCAAGUCAUAAAACCACUAGUGAAUAAGGGGUGGGCAAGUUCUGGUGUCAGCCGCCGCGGUAAAACCAGCACCUCAAGUGGUCAGGAGGAUUAUUGGGCCUAAAGCAUCCGUAGCCUGUUCUAUAAGUUUGCGGUUAAAUCUAUACGCUCAACGUAUAGGCUGCCGUAAAUACUGUAGAACUAGGGAGUGGGAGAGGUAGACGGUACUCGAUAGGAAGGGGUAAAAUCCUUUGAUCUAUUGAUGACCACCUGUGGCGAAGGCGGUCUACCAGAACACGUUCGACGGUGAGGGAUGAAAGCUGGGGGAGCAAACCGGAUUAGAUACCCGGGUAGUCCCAGCUGUAAACGAUGCAGACUCGAUGAUGCAAUGGCAUAGAGCUAUUGCAGUAUCGCAGGGAAGCCGUUAAGUCUGCCGCCUGGGAAGUACGUACGCAAGUAUGAAACUUAAAGGAAUUGGCGGGGGAGCACCACAAGGGGUGAAGCCUGCGGUUCAAUUGGAGUCAACGCCGGG